UCCCAUAAUUCUUAACCCUGAGGAAGGAGUUCUAAGCUUCAGACAAGUUAGUACAAAUCCAAGUAGAGUUGCUUGGCAACAAAAAAAUAAACAGUUUUGGAAGCAGUCAGCCAGAGAUUGGAAUCACCAACGUCCUCUUCUUGUUCAGUCUCUUGGAUCUAACUCCACUACUCCGCUGGGCAAGAAUGUGGGCUCUUAAAUUCUACAACUGUGAGCACUGUGGGAGUGAUUUUGUCAGCCACACAGCCCUAAAGUAUCACUUUUGACUGAAGCAUCUUGGAAAAGUUCACUGUGAAAAAUGCAGCCAAGAAGUCCUGAGGGAGAAGCUCCAAGAUCACAUCUGUGCAUGACAGGUCAACCAUGGAGACACACAACCUAAACUGGGAAAAUCUGGAGGACACGAGUACAAAGCACACAGCUACAAAAAUAUCAAAAACUCACAGGAUGUGUUCUAGGUACUUUGGAACAGUCCUUAGUCGGGAGAUCCACGAAAUACAAGAGCAUCACUUCCCAGCCAAUAAAAGAGGUACUGGAGGAGGUAGCAGGCAGAACUCCAGUCCCAAAGAAAAGGAAGGAACAAGACAGAAUAGCAGGUAGGCUUGGUCAUG
Molecule: long non-coding RNA, 608 nt
Organism: Lemur catta (Ring-tailed lemur)
Lineage: Eukaryota; Metazoa; Chordata; Mammalia; Primates; Lemuridae
Exons: 4
Source: RefSeq, a predicted model, not a curated record